Molecule: long non-coding RNA, 766 nt
Organism: Raphanus sativus (radish)
Lineage: Eukaryota; Viridiplantae; Streptophyta; Magnoliopsida; Brassicales; Brassicaceae
Exons: 6
Source: RefSeq, a predicted model, not a curated record
UUCUUUUCUUUUGCGUUCUCUUAUACCGUCAAUGGCGUCACUAGAGAUUGGAUGACCGAGAUCGAGAUGAAGAAUCUCUUUGUUUGUCUCCAUUCGCGUCGUUUAACCUUCUACUUUACUCAACCGAAACAGUCCGAGUUACAGCCAUUAUCGCCUUCUUAACUCUAUACACCGACGUGAAGCACGAUCUGACAUUGAUUAUGAGUUAUCCCAGGCGUUUUAUUCUACACCCAUAAAAAGGAUCUUCCAACUCUUAUGCUAGAAGAUACAGCUUUGGAUGUUCUCAAAAUUCUAAGAUGGCUGCAAGGCAACUUGAGUUUAUGGUGGGGAAGAAAUCUGGUGGUCCAAACACUUGCAGCCUUGAGGAUGCUUUAGGAAUAGCACAGCACCAUGAUGGUGACUAUGCCUAAAGACUAGCACUUGGUCCUUCUGAGGAGCAGUGGUGAAUUCUGUGCUGGCACACUUACCGAACGCACGUACAAAACCUGGCAUAUCAUUAACCCAGGUGAGAUUGUUAUAAACAUGGUUGUGGGAGGGGAAGUAACUACUCUCAAAAGACAAUGGCAUUAUCAUCGCAGAGACUGCCAAUCAAUAUAGUUAGAUCUUAAAACAACAACUCAGGGCUCCUAUGAUCUUAAUGAUACCAUCAAAGUUCGGUUGUUGGCACUUAUAUAUGUUACCUAUGAUCUUCUCCGUAGAAAUCAAUAGUUUGUGUUAAGCUACAGAAGAUGUCUCUUUUAGCCAUUAAGAUGAUCACUUUGGUCUA